UGUAUGUUAGAAUAAUUCACCUUUAAAACCUUACAAUGUUAUUUAAAAACUAUUUUUCUUACUGAGCAUAUAGAACUCACUCUUUCCAUGCCCUCCCAGAUGAAGAAGAAAAUGAGGAACCGCCAGCUGACCUACCAAUUGAAGUUUAUGAGGAUCUCAUGGAUCCGCAAAACUUGAGUGCAUGAUCGUUCCCAUACUCUAAUGAGUCCCAUAGCUUAGUAAAAGAAAUGCCCUCUUUUGUAUUUGGACUUUGUAUUUUACAGCCAGUUCU
Molecule: long non-coding RNA, 271 nt
Filed under: Carica papaya (papaya)
Lineage: Eukaryota; Viridiplantae; Streptophyta; Magnoliopsida; Brassicales; Caricaceae
Description: long non-coding RNA (CPAP_LNC003971)
Source: RNAcentral